AACGAACGCUGGCGGCAGGCCUAACACAUGCAAGUCGAACGCCCCGCAAGGGGAGUGGCAGACGGGUGAGUAACGCGUGGGAACGUACCCUUCGGUUCGGAAUAACCCGGGGAAACUCGGGCUAAUACCGGAUACGUCCGCAAGGAGAAAGAUUUAUCGCCGAAGGAUCGGCCCGCGUCGGAUUAGCUAGUUGGUGGGGUAAUGGCCCACCAAGGCGACGAUCCGUAGCUGGUCUGAGAGGAUGAUCAGCCACACUGGGACUGAGACACGGCCCAGACUCCUACGGGAGGCAGCAGUGGGGAAUAUUGGACAAUGGGCGAAAGCCUGAUCCAGCCAUGCCGCGUGAGUGAAGAAGGCCUUAGGGUUGUAAAGCUCUUUCAGCGGGGAAGAUAAUGACGGUACCCGCAGAAGAAG
Molecule: ribosomal RNA, 414 nt
Filed under: uncultured bacterium
Lineage: Bacteria
Description: bacterial SSU rRNA
Rfam family: Bacterial small subunit ribosomal RNA
Source: RNAcentral